Non-coding RNA from Pantherophis guttatus, 1886 nucleotides. The record is from RefSeq and is a predicted model, not a curated record. NCBI's taxonomy places the organism in Eukaryota, Metazoa, Chordata, Lepidosauria, Squamata, Colubridae.
GCUGCAUCUGCUAACUGGCUCUGCUCAGAAUAUUCUCUCCUACUGGGACUGAGGAAAUAGCAGCUUGUUUUUGAUGGCCAGCUAAUUUUUGCUUUAUGUCUUUCUCAUCAACCCGGAAAGGCAGAUUUCCUUCUUUCUAGUUUUUAUUUUUUCUCCAUCCCCCUGGAACUGAAGUCAUUUUUCCCACGGUAUCGCUUUGUAUCUGCAGGUGGAAGAUCACCUGCUCAGCUUGGAAGGGAACGAGAAGCUUCAAGGGACAACUGUCCAGAGACCUUCCUUGCAAGGAACAACACAGAUAACUUUCGAUGUCUCCACGAUGACUACUGCACGAUUACUCAAGUAGACUUCUUGGGUCAGUCUUCCGGAAUGGAGCCUUCACCAUCAUCAGAUUAAUCCCAGCAAGUUCACAGACCAUCUGAAGUUGAGCGGGAUUGGAGACUUUUGGUCCAGUUAUCAGCUCUUCCACUCUUUCUGGAGGAUCUCAACUCAGUUCAGAAAGGAGAAAUCUUCAGAAGGAUGAGAUGAGUGUGUUCCCAUUGCUUUUCCUGCAAACACAACGCAAAACAUGUCAUGCAAUGCCACCAUUGAUGAGUUCCGGAGUCAGGUGUAUCCUGUGACAUACUCCAUCAUCUCAAUCCUGGGAUUUAUGGGAAAUGGCUUCGUGUUGUGUGUCCUCAUCAGGACCUGCCAGGAGAAGACAGCUUUCCAGAUAUACAUGUUCAACCUUGCCAUUGCAGAUCUUCUCUUUGUAUGCACCCUGCCCCUACGAGUGGUCUAUUACCUCUAUAACGGCAACUGGUUCUUUGGUGACUUUUUGUGCCGGAUCAGCUCCUAUGCCAUGUAUGUCAACUUGUACUGUAGCAUCCUGUUCAUGACGGCGAUGAGUUUCUUCCGUUGCAUUGCCAUUGUUUUCCCCAUCUGGAAUAUCCAAUUUAUCUCCCGGAAGAAGGCCAUCAUCGUCUGCGUUGGCAUUUGGUUCUUCGUAAUCGUGACCACCACUCCGUUUUUGCAGAAAAGUGUCCAGUUAUCUGAUGAAAAUAUAACCAAAUGCUUUGAGCCACCGAGGAACAAAGAUGUGAGGAAGCUGAUGGUUCUCCACUACAUUUCACUGUUCGUGGGUUUCAUCUUUCCUUUCAUCACCAUCACCAUCUGUUACGCCAUGAUCCUAAACAAGCUCCUGAAGAAUUCCAUGCAUAAGAAAGAAGGCACUCGUAGAAAAGCCAUCUGGAUGAUCGUGAUUGUGACCGUCGUCUUCCUCGUGAGCUUCACCCCGUAUCAUGUCCAGCGCACGGUCCACCUCCACUUCAUGAAAGACAAGACUUCCUGCGAGAAGAGUCUUUACAUGCAGAAAUCCGUGGUGAUAACCUACUCCCUUGCAGCCUUCAACUGUUGCUUCAACCCACUUCUCUAUUACUUUUCUGGAGGUAAUUUCCGUAGGAGACUUUCCACUUUCCAAAGGGGCUCUAUUUCCAGUUCUCAUCAGCGGAAGAUGUCAAAGAUGGAGGAAGCCGUGAAUGGAAACGCUGUGCUACACAGGAACUUGUAAGGGUCUUUUCAUCUGUUCCUCAUCAAAAACAUACAUUUUGGAAGUGAUGGGAAGACUGUAGGUCUAGCAACCUGUAAAACUCGAACUAUGAGUUGGUGUGAGCAAUGCCCUUGCCAUUAUACCAACUCCCUCCUAACAGAUGCCAACCUGAGAUGCUGGUUAUUGUGUGUCAGUGGUUUAUCUAGUUUCUCAAAAUGCUGCCAAGUUUGAAGACCUCUGAUAUAGACAUUCGCUUGGCCACCACCAGAUUCCUUGCUUCAACUGUAUUUCCAAAUAUGUCUCUGGGACCUGAAUGAAACUUAAAAGAUAUUUUAAGACAUAAAGAUGAUGAUGAAAUCAA